UGGGGAAUUUUGGACAAUGGGCGAAAGCCUGAUCCAGCAAUGCCGCGUGUGUGAAGAAGGCCUUCGGGUUGUAAAGCACUUUUGUCCGGAAAGAAAUCCUUGGCUCUAAUACAGUCGGGGGAUGACGGUACCGGAAGAAUAAGCACCGGCUAACUACGUGCCAGCAGCCGCGGUAAUACGUAGGGUGCAAGCGUUAAUCGGAAUUACUGGGCGUAAAGCGUGCGCAGGCGGUUUGCUAAGACCGAUGUGAAAUCCCCGGGCUCAACCUGGGAACUGCAUUGGUGACUGGCAGGCUAGAGUAUGGCAGAGGGGGGUAGAAUUCCACGUGUAGCAGUGAAAUGCGUAGAGAUGUGGAGGAAUACCGAUGGCGAAGGCAGCCCCCUGGGCCAAUACUGACGCUCAUGCACGAAAGCGUGGGGAGCAAACAGGAUUAGUACCCUGGUAGUCCACGCCCUAAACGAUGUCAACUAGUUGUUGGGGAUUCAUUUCCUUAGUAACGUAGCUAACGCGUGAAGUUGACCGCCUGGGGAGUACGGUCG
RNAcentral lists this ribosomal RNA (539 nucleotides) under uncultured bacterium. RNAcentral describes it as "partial 16S ribosomal RNA". It matches the Rfam family "Bacterial small subunit ribosomal RNA", at positions 355 to 888 of the family's 1533-position model. The record is from RNAcentral.